CAGUCGCUGGCCAUGUCACAAGA
RNAcentral lists this microRNA (23 nucleotides) under Ixodes scapularis (black-legged tick). RNAcentral's name for it is "Isc-Mir-210_5p (mature (guide))". Lineage: Eukaryota; Metazoa; Arthropoda; Arachnida; Ixodida; Ixodidae. The record is from RNAcentral.